GUGGGGGUGGUGUAGUGGAUAACACAUCAGUCCUGUCAACUUUGAAGCUUCUGGUUCGAUCCCAGACGCCUAAA
Meloidogyne enterolobii is the source of this 74-nucleotide non-coding RNA. The record is from the annotation of a GenBank genome assembly. Lineage: Eukaryota; Metazoa; Nematoda; Chromadorea; Rhabditida; Meloidogynidae.